This 475-nucleotide ribosomal RNA is filed under the name uncultured bacterium. Its description in RNAcentral is "bacterial SSU rRNA". It matches the Rfam family "Bacterial small subunit ribosomal RNA", at positions 28 to 507 of the family's 1533-position model. The record is from RNAcentral.
GACGAACGCUGGCGGCGUGCCUAACACAUGCAAGUCGAGCGGAGAUAAGCGGAUGGUAACUGAAGUUUGUCUUAGCGGCGGACGGGUGAGUAACACGUGGGCAACCUGCCUUGGAGUGGGGGAGUAAACACCGGGAAAUCGGUGCUAAUACCGCAUAACAUACACAUACUGCAUGGUGAGUGUAUCAAAGGAGCAAUCCGCUUUAAGAUGGGCCCGCGGCUGAUUAGCUAGUUGGUAAGGUAACGGCUUACCAAGGCGACGAUCAGUAGCCGACCUGAGAGGGUGACCGGCCACACUGGAACUGAGACACGGUCCAGACUCCUACGGGAGGCAGCAGUGGGGAAUAUUGCGCAAUGGGGGAAACCCUGACGCAGCAACGCCGCGUGAGGGACGAAGGCCCUUGGGUCGUAAACCUCUUUUGCAGGGGAAGAAGAAGAUGACGGUACCUUGCGAACAAGUCCCGGCUAACUACGUG